ACUGGUUGAUGAAGGCGGCGGUGCCGGUGGAGUUGCAAGCCACCAUGUGGAAGCCCGCCUCGGAGAGCCGGUCGAAAGCUUGCUCCAGAACACUGAAAAAGGUUGCAUAGAGAGGUUGUGGAAUCUCCUUCUCUGGAGAUAUUCAAAACCCACCUGGACGUGAGCCUGUGUAACCUGCUGUGAGUGAACCUGUUAUAGCUUGGACUAGAUGAUCUCCAGAAGCCCUUUCCAACCCCAACCAUUCUAUUUUCUGUGAUUCUGUGACUAAGUAUUUCACCAAACCUCCCUAAGAUCCUGCUUCCUGCUUUAUGGUGAACUUGCCACCGGCUGCCACAAGAGAGGAGCCCCAAAGAAAAGAUACAAGGACUCCCUGAAACAACAUCUCAGCCUUGGCCACAUUGAUCACCAUAACUGGCCUACUCUGGCCUCCAAUCAGGAGGUCUGGAGACACACCAUCUAUAAUGCUGCUGAUGCUUUUGAGAAAGCACCCAGGAUCACUCUUGAGGAGAAACGACAAUGCAGAAAGAAUUGUGCCUUGCAGAAUAUACCACCUAAGGAGUCUUUCUGCUGUGCCUUUUGCAACCAGACAUGUCUAUCUCGUAUUGGCCUUUUUAGCCAUCAACGCACUUGCAACAAACACACCCCCAGUGCAUCCUGACAUGUGUUCACACAGCUACCUCCACUGCUUGUCAUGGGACUCCUUGAGGCUGAACAUGACUCCAAAGAACAUGCAGGAAAGCACCUGCAGACUCAAGCAGCUCUGAUAAACUGCCUGGAAGUGAAAGGGAAACAAUUAAAUGGAGGAAAACAUUAUUUACCCUUCUUCCUAGUUUCUACCACUAUAUUACAUUACAAGAGGGUUCAGGACUCAGGAAUAAAUGUCGACCUAUGAGAACGCAAAGCACAGACUGUAUAUGCGUUUGCAAGUGUGUUGCAGAGGAUCAGAGGAUAAAAGCAAAUUUUAUCUUUUUUAUUAAUUAAUCAACUGCAAAUCUGCUUCUUGUAAUUGUGUAAGGGUUCUAUUAUCUGCUUUCUAGGAAUCAGCUUCCUAUUGGUAUUAAUGAGAAUUAUUUGAGCUUAGUUAUGAUGACAUUAAUUUAGUUACAGAAAAACAUUUAUCUGUUCUAAGUAAUUGAACCGUAGUUUUCUAGGACAUGCAUGUGCCCUUUUUUCAACAACAGACGUAUCUAUGGUUUGCAGGAAUGCUUGCUAAGUACAAUAUGGUAGUUAUUUCAAUGUACAAAGUGGCCAAUCCUUUUUUUCCUUAGUAUUUUCACCACUUGGAACAGCUUAAUUCUGAUUAUGUGAUACACUUCUACCUCAUUGAAAUGUUCUCAUAUGAAAAAUUUUCUUGUGUAGAAAAUGGAACUACAGACGCAAAGUGGAUUUUAUUCAGUGACUCAUCUAUUUCUACUGAUUUCUAGAACAAAUUGUUAUUACCUAGAGUAAAUCCCUAACCACACCUUAUACCUCUGUUGUCCUAAAGUUGUGCUAAUUUGGAAUCUUGAUUUCUGCUGUGGAUGGAUGGCGGGAUAACUGUGUUAAUUGUUCAACAGGCUCAGAUAAAUUUUUACCAGGUAUUACCAGUAUAGUAAUGGUAUAGGGAAGAAGAAGUCAGGAUUGCACCAAAACCUAACCAUACAAGUGUUUCUUGCUUAUUUAACGUGGGAAAUAACAUCCUCAUGAAAUCUGUUUUGUAUUCGCAGCCGGAUGAUAUCUCCCUGGUCCAUGGAGGAAAGUAUAGCUCUUACAUUCCCCUCUUUAUGCAGGCACAUGUAUGACAAUCUUCCAUCUUGAUUUUAAUCAGAGGAAAAUUCAGGCAAAAAAAAAAGCAAGACUGAAAUCUAUUUUAAUCUACUGCAGUGAUUAAAAGGUGAAGUUAUAGUUAAUGGUACUUUGUUUUGAGGAAGGUUGUUACAGCAGCCAAAAGACAUGCACACCUAUAUAUCAUAGAGCACCACCACAUCUAGCAAAAAAAAGCUUGAUGCUGCCAGCUUCCUGGUGAAAAUCCCUCUUAAAUCAUAAUAAAAGACUAAAUCCCUAGCAUAAUACUUUCUGAAAAGAAAAAUACAGCCUGCCAGUAUCCUGCCUUAGCUGGGAGGUAGGGAGGAUUUCAUUCACUCUUUAUCAGUGUUUAUGUCCAUGCCCUUUCUGUACAGAUGGAAAUGUAGUGAAGCAGAAGCUAUUUGGGAAAUAGAAGCAGGCUGGCAAAGACUUACACCAAGAUAUGAAAAUAAAAGGCUCAGUCCUGUGUGUUAGAAAUGACAAUGCAAACUAGCUCCAAAUCUGGAAUGAAUCUUUCACUUUUUCAAGUGCUGUUAGUUUGUUCGUUGGUUGUGGGGUUUUUUCCCACAGUUUCUAGUCUUGAAUACUUAUUAAUAAAAGUUCUUAAUCAAAUGGCUGUCUUAUAUUUCAGUUACAUAACGAAUGGACAGCUGACCAAGGAGAAAAAAACCCUAAGAUGUCAAAUUAUUGUUUCUGAAGGUUUGUUGAAUUUCUAUAAGACUGUUUAAUGUGCCAGUGUCAGCGCUGGCUUCUACCAUGUAUUCUUCUGGCUCCUGUACUAAUAAAUGAUGUCUUCUGAGGGAUUGACACAGUAUGACCUUGGAUAAGAGAGGAUGUUUUGUUUUCUAUUAAAUAUGGUAUAUCUCUGCAGUCUUUCAGAAGUGUGUAUAUCAAAAUAUUGGAAACAAUAAAUGAAAUAAGUAAAUGUUUGCGCCCAAA
Molecule: long non-coding RNA, 2724 nt
Organism: Pseudopipra pipra
Lineage: Eukaryota; Metazoa; Chordata; Aves; Passeriformes; Pipridae
Exons: 4
Source: RefSeq, a predicted model, not a curated record